Molecule: long non-coding RNA, 803 nt
Filed under: Equus caballus (horse)
Lineage: Eukaryota; Metazoa; Chordata; Mammalia; Perissodactyla; Equidae
Description: lncRNA (ENSECAG00000055590.1)
Source: RNAcentral
ACCGUUACAAGUGGUGCCAUAGCCCACCAGGCCACUUGAGGGGGCUGGAAUAGAGCCCUAGUGUGACCCCCAGUUCAGUGCCCAGAGUCCGGUUACUGCCCUACACUGCUGAUCACGCAAUAUCUUGGGUUAACUCAUCUGCUUCAUUCGCCUUUGGUCCCUGGCAGAGAUCAAAGAACCCUGAGCGGUUGGGAAGCUGGGACCUUGGAGAGGGUGGACAGAGUAUACUCCUUGACCCCUGGGCUUUGACCAUGAUUAUGUGACUUGCUUUGGCCCGUGGGAUGUUAGCAGACAGGACACAAGCAGAGGCUUGAAAAGUGCCUGCAAGUUGGAGUUUUCUUCUCUGCUCCUGCCUUUGGCCAUAAGAAGAACAUUUCCUGGGUAACCACUGGACAAGGAAGAUACGGAGACACAUAGAACAGACCUGAACCUGGCCUGUAGCUUGGAACCAAGCCCAGCUGAGCCUGGCUUAGAUUAGCCAACUUGCGAUGUGAUAUUUUUGCUUGAAGACUUGUCAAGUCCUCUCAGACAACCUGAAUGAUUGAUCUAAACCAUCCACUCUACUGGGCAGUCCUGGUGCUGAUUCUGGCCUUCUUUGCACUCACUUCCAAGACAUUUGCAGAAGUGAAAAAACCAGAUAAUCCACCAGAUAUACGUUUGGUUGACAAGGUCAAACAUCUGAAUAUAUGGAAGAUUCUGGAAGCAACAAUGGCUUAAACAAGGUAGGAAUUUAUUUCUCAUUCACAUAAAAUUUGAGUGGCUGUCCACAGUUGAUAUGGUGCUCCAUGCUAUGAAGAACUCUG